Molecule: transfer RNA, 65 nt
Filed under: Galiteuthis armata
Lineage: Eukaryota; Metazoa; Mollusca; Cephalopoda; Oegopsida; Cranchiidae
Description: tRNA-His
Source: RNAcentral
GUAAAGUUAGUUUAAUAUUAAAAUAACAAGUUGUGGGUUUGUGGAUAAAUUAUUUUUACUUUACU